GAGAGAAGCCUCAGAAGAAACCAACCCUGCCAACACCGUGACCUCAGACUCCAGCCCCCAGAACUAGCCAUAGUUUGUCUUCCACAACUGGAGGUUUGAAAAGAAGGAUGAGGACACUGAAUCUCAGAGACGUCAAGUUCUUUCAUCGAGAUUCCAUAGAAUGUUCCCUGUUUCUUCAUCUAUGACAUGGGGAUAAUGUGAGUAUACCUACAUCAGAGGGCUGCGAUGAAGA
Molecule: long non-coding RNA, 232 nt
Organism: Gorilla gorilla gorilla (western lowland gorilla)
Lineage: Eukaryota; Metazoa; Chordata; Mammalia; Primates; Hominidae
Exons: 3
Source: RefSeq, a predicted model, not a curated record